RNAcentral lists this long non-coding RNA (18475 nucleotides) under Gossypium barbadense (sea-island cotton). RNAcentral describes it as "long non-coding RNA (GBAR_LNC020600)". Lineage: Eukaryota; Viridiplantae; Streptophyta; Magnoliopsida; Malvales; Malvaceae. The record is from RNAcentral.
UCUACGUAUCCUCAUCGAAUGUUACAGUGGGAAUAUAGCUUAAAACCCAAGCAGCCAAAAAAAAUGGGAUGUUCUAAUCCUAGCCAAGAAUUGACUUGAUUUUCGCCUUCUGAUCCUCCGCAAGUGAUGUGGGGAACAAAACCUCAUAGGUGACAAAGAGGUCUCCUUUCUUGUUGCUAAAAUGCAAUGGCAUUCCUUCUCCUUUGAACUUUCUCACCUCCUUCGGCUUGGUAAUACCCUAAGUAUGCAAUACACAAUUAUUUCUUAUUUUGGGUCAUUUUGUUGAUCGCGGACAACAUGAAAUCAAAUCUCCAUGGGACAUGUUAUGCUUACCUUAGAGCCGAUCUCCACUAAAUGGUCAUCAAGGUGUUUAAUGGUCUUAUCAAAACCAACAAGAGCUUGAACCUAGAGCAAAUAAUGACAAGAAAAUUAGUUUUUAGUUUUCUGACAAAAUGUAGAGAUACAUUGAGAAAUCGUCUUACAAGUGUUAUGGUGACGGUGGUGUGCAAGUCAUUGCCUUCCCUCCUGAAUCGGUCAUGGGGUGCUGUAUGAAUCCGGAACUACAGAAAAUGCAAGUCUUAUGUGAGCAAGAACGAGCAAGUUCCAAUAUACUAACUAAAGGCAGCAAAUGAUUCUGGAGACAGGAAUCUACCGGCCUUGCCCAAUGGCCAGCAAGUAGCACAAUUAACUGAUCUAUUUAGAAGGAUUGGAAAAUUUUCAUCAAUGGUUAAAGACUAACCUUCAAAUCUCCAGGUUCUCCAUCUAUAAUAGGCUCACCAUCUUCAUAAAAGACCACCUCCUGUAGAACACACAGGAAACACAUUAUUCCAAAUUUAAAAACAGUACCACGGACUAGAUGAAAAUACAACUAUUAUACUCCUAGCAAUAGUGUGAUAAAACUACAAUAUGACGGAAAGUACAAAAUCCCAUAAUUGUAGUUGGACAAGUAAUUAAGAUGAAAUUGCCAAAUGAAUGAAUCUGCACCAAAACAAAGAACUCCAUUUAAACAUGGCAUUAAGAAUCCCUAGAGAUUUUACUAAAUUACAUUCCUUUGUCUCUUUCUUUGCCCCCACAUUGGAUUAAUGAUGAACAAGAAAGCAUGUCAAAACAAGUCGGAACACCCUGAUACAUGAUCAAUCAUUCUGAUGUUGUUAUAAUUGUCAUUUUUAAUAGAUCGAAGCACCCAGAAUAAUUUUGAUAAUUCAAGAAACAAACUUUUCAUAUCACAGAACAGCUUGUCCACUAUCACAUUCCCCAAGUUUAAAACACGACAAUAUUUUUUAACAUUAAUUAAGAAAAACAAGACAACAGUCUCAACAAGCAUACGAAGGAAAAUAUUACAAAUUAAAGAAAAAUAAUUUUAAAAACCUACUUGUCCAUCUUGCAUUCCUUUCUCAAUAUCAACUGUGACAAAGUAUCCCUCUCGUUCAUAUUUCACAUUUUGGCACUGCUCGCAAACCUGAGAAAAGAGAAUUGGAGACUAAUAAUAAAUGCCUGAUCAUAGCAACAUCGGACAUGACACUUUUGACAGUGUAAAAUGGCCAAGGAAACAGAUAAAAUACAUAACAGUAUGAAACAUAAAUAUCAAUCAAAAAGAAAAAAAGACAAAGCCACAGUACCUGUUCAGUCAUCUGUUGGAACAUCCCUGGACCAAUUUGCUUAUGAUAGACCUCAUUUCUGCAGUUACAGCGGCGUUUACCUGGAGCUGGUUUUAAGAUGUUUUUCUCCCUCCAAACCUGGUGAAUUUGAGAAUAAUGUUACAUUUUUUUUUUAUAAAAUAAGAAUACUGACAAGGAAGGUCAUAGGCAAAGGGAAGAGAAAGGCAAACACCAAGCUACUAACUCCUUCGAUUUCCCCCACAAAGGCUCAAGUUAAGGACAAGAAGAAAUAAUGCACAUCCUAUCUACAUCAUCUUUAUUUCAGGAUAAUCAAUGUAAAAUUCAUUGAUCUCCAAGCGUUCCAAGAAAUAGAACAUUUAGAACGAAGCACAAAUUUGUCAAGUAUAAAGGACUAGAUCCAAAGAUGGCCAAACAACUUUAUUUUACACUUUUGACGGUCGCCCUAAGGAGGCUGAAGAGAAGAAAUAUUUUAAUAAUCUAGCUCCUAGCUAAGACAGGUCAGGACAUUACAUGGCUUGAUAUGCAUUAUACCAUACCCUAUGAUGCCUUAUAGCUGAUAAACAUUAAAACUCCAAAGAGAGAAUCUAGCCUUGUCAUUUGCAAAGGGUCCACAAAAAAUACUAGAUAUCUUAAGUACCUAUGACGCUUGCAUGUACAAGUUUAAUUAUUAUUAGAUGGAUAUGAUAUUUAGACUACUAAUACAUUGAGAAAGCGAUAACUGUAGUUGCAUACACUAUUCUGCUCACAAACCAACUUCUCGAGCCUAGUGUCAUGGGCCAAAGUUCAAAGCCCGUGACCAUCGCACCAAAUGCAUUCAAUGAAGGUCUAUUGAUUAGAUGGGAUCAUUUGGCCCAGGAGAACUGGCCCGAUUCAAAAAGCUAUUGGAGAAACCUGUCAGAUUGAAGCCUGGUUGGCCCGAUAAUGAAGAGAUGGCAACUUAGGCUAAUAUGGUAACUAAUCUUAGAAGAUAGAGGGAAUCAUAUCUUGUAAAGAUUACAUUAGAUUUGAUAAGACUUAUCUUGUAAAUCCCUAAAAUCAAGGGAUUUAAUGAAUCUCGUCCGUCUAUGUAAAUGUAUCUUAACCGUCGGUUUUGGGAGAGCUUAAUUAUAAAUAGAGAGCCUCCCCUCAUUUGUACUCAUUCCAUUGUAUUCUGAAUUUUUAAGAGUAAUAUAAUUCUGAGAGCAUUUACUCAAACACCUUGUGUGCAAUCUUUUCUGUGGCUUUCUGUUGUUCUUUGGUUAGUUACUUUUGGCAUAAAUCGCUUCCGCUCUUCAAUUUGGUGGCUUGGAGGAGUUCUAAAAAAUCCUCACUUGAGUUAAGGUUGACUUAGGCGAGUUUAGACGAACGAAUCGCCUAAGACCGCACGGAUUGCGAGACGAAAGGUCUAGCCCCGUGACACUAGAAGGUAAUACAAGUACAAAACAUGCAUAUGUUCAAAACCCUUUACAGAGACUAACAAUUCAGCUAUGACGUUAAAUAAGGUACUAGCCAUGCACAAAAAUCUUCGGUUCCAUAGAAGUCAAGAUGACCAAACACAGUCCAACUACCGAUUUGGAAAUUUUAGUGGAGCACAUAAUACUCUCACCUUAAGAGUACCUCCCAUGUACAAAUCUUCUAGUGUUGCAUCCAAUUCAACAAUUACAUCAUCGCCCUUCACAAUUCUCUCUUCCUCUUCUACCGUACCUCCGCCAAAAAACCUGAAGAAAACACCAUCUUGUCAACAUUAAAAUUGAAUUUAGCAUAAAAUAUAUAAAAGUAAACAAUUCCUCAAAAUUGAUGGAUAACCACGUUUAAACUAAGUGAAUGUAGGGCUAGGUAGAUGGUUUUCAAAAGUUGAAACCAUUCUUGACAUUUGUUACAUUUUAUUGUUGAUUUCAUAUAUCAUCAACUUAACACGGAAACAUAUGUAAAGGUUCGCAACAACCCAAAGGAGCAAGACAUUAAGAAGCUCCAUGUUGGCACCCAAGACCAGAGUUCAAACCUAGCGUAACUCAUCCUCCCCAAAAUUGUAAUGUACAAAAAAUAAAGGUUCUGAAAUCUAACAUCAAUUAUAGACAACCUGAAUUUGGGAAACAUUAGCAUGCCUAAGAUAAACCUAAGCUACAUUAAUUGGCUUCUAAACUGUGGUACAAUGUCGGCACACCAUUUAUAAUAGCAUUUCAACUACUACUAAAUAGCUGUCAAGAUAAUUAAACGAAACUACAACUAAAUAGCUAACAAGAUAAUUAAUACUCAGUUUAGGAACAUGAAUUUGGAUUUUAUUUAUAUGUAAAUGGUAAAAAUGAAAAGCAUAAAAACAUGGAUUUAGCAAAUUAAAAAAUAUUUUAAGAAUUCGAAAUUCACUGGUCGGCAUCUUAACAAAUUCAUAGAUUUAAGAAACAAUCAUGAAACGCUACAUAAAGGAAAUGGAAUAUAAACAUUCAAAUAUCUUACGAGCUGAAAAUGUCCUGAAUAUUGACCCCCAUUCCUCCUCUGCCUCCGCUGGUAGCAUGCUGCUUCAGGCCCUCCUCACCAUACCUAUCAUAUAUGCCCCUCUUUUCGCUAUCCGACAACACCUCGUAAGCUAAUCAUUGUCAAAGCAAUUAAUCGUUUAAAGAAGAAAAUUCAAUCAUAUCUAUCACUCAACUUAUUUUUCAAAAAUUAUAAUAAUAAAGAACAAGUUUUUUUUUUUUACCAUUGUUAAUGUCAGCAAAUCGCUUAUUGGCCUCUUCAUUGCCGGGGUUCUUAUCAGGAUGGUACUUCAAUGCCAGCUUUCUAUACGCUCUUUUGAUCUGCUCAUCGGAUGCUCCUUUCGGCACUUGCAAUAUGUCGUAAUAACUCUUCCUGCAGCAAAAACACCACCACGAACAUAUAUGAACGCAUUUUUUGAGAGAGAGGGAGACGGGAGAGAUUGAGGCAUACCCUGCAAUGGCGACGAUCGCAAAAGACAAAGCGAACAGCAGAAAAAGUAGCUUCGAUCGAGGAAGCGCCAUGGAUUUGAGAUCAGGAGAGAAAUUGGAUCUCUCCAGAACUUAAGAAAUGUUUACAAAUUUUUUAUCAGAUCUUCAAUUUCAACAACAAAAAUAAAAAAGGUUGAUAUUUCAAGAGAGAAUAGGUGAAGGAUUCUUAAGCUUUGGCGCUGCUUUUAUAAUUUAAUUUCUCUAAUGGAUCGUGUUUUUUUAUUUUUCAGUUGGAGUACUUGAAAUUCGAAACUGGGAAACGAAGCGAAGCUUGAGGCAUCAAACGACUUGACUUUGGGACUAAACUUUUGCGACGUGUUCUCGAGAAAACUGGCCAAUGAGCGUAAGCUUCCUGUUGUUUUCACCAAUAGCGUAUUGACAGGUGAUGGAUUUGCCGUCUUCCUGGGUCCUAUAUCUGUUUUCCUGGAUGAUGUAAAAUUUAUUGAUUUACACAGCACUUUAAAAUCAUAUAUAUAAGGUCUAAAAUGUUUUUCCUACCUCACAUAACUUAUAAAAUUGUGAUUUGUUGCGGGUGUAGAUCAGGCUAUUAAGAUCCAGGAUUCUAUUUGAGACAUAUAGUAAAUGGGCCAAAAAUAAAUUUUCUUUUGGAGCUUCGAGACAUGAAGUAAAUGGGCCAAAAAUAAAUAUUUUUUUCUCGAAAAACACCAAUGCCAACAUAUCCGCUGAGAUUUGUAGUAUAUUGAGGUUUAGUAUGACUGAUGAUUUGGGAUUCUAUUUGGAUAUGCCGUUGUUUCAUCGAUGAGUUACAACAAAUACUUUUAAGUUUAUUGUUGAGAAGGUUUAAAGAAAAUUGGAUAGUUGGGAUGCCAAGUUGCUCUCAAUGGCGGGUCGAGUCACUCUAACAAGGUCAAUUUUGUUAUCAAUACCUAAUUAUUUCAGGCAAUCUUUAAGUUUUAAGAUCCUUAUUUCUAUCUGCAAAGAGGUUGAAAAGAUUGCUCAGGGAUUCACUUGUAGGAGAUCCAUGGUUAGUCAAAAGCCAUCUUUAGUUAAAUGGUCUGACUGUUUUCAACCACUUUUUAAUAGAGGUCUUCGUCUUAGAAGCCUUACGAAUCAAAACAAUUCUGUUCUUCUCAAAUUGGGGUUUAAUUUCCUUUCCAAUAAACAAUCUUUAUGGGUUCAUUUCCUAAGAGCUAAAUAUAAGAUAGUUGAUGAUUUCCCGGUAGAGAUUUUAAGGAAUUGUUGAUCUUUAUUUGGAGAUCACUUGCAAAGAUUUGGCCUCUUGUGUGCUAAUGUGUUAGCUGGUCAGUGGGUGAUGAUAAUCGUAUAAAUUUUUGGACUGAUAAGUGGGUCGUUGGGUUUGGUCCUCUAAUUAUUUAUUGUCGUAAUGUUUUGCUAAUUGAUGAAUCCAUUUCUCUUAGGGAGAUGGUGUUGACGAAUGGUGAUUGGGAUUGGCAAUAUCUAAGAAGUUUCUUAAAUGUUAAUAUUCUCUCCAACAUUGCAGGUAUUUCGGUUCCAAUUCUAAUGGGAGCUUCUCAGUCAAAUCUACCUAUAAGUUUCUCAGAAAUGACGGCUUAAAUCCUCAAUAAGAGAGCUGUAAACUUGUAUGGUCUUUUUCAGGGCUUCAACUCGUAUGCUAUCAAUACAACAUAGGGGUAUCGAUACCUAAGCCUAGGUAUUGAUACAUUAGUGCUAGUGUUGAUACUUUGGGCCUGUUUUGCAUAUAAAUGAUCCAAAAUGAAUUUUUACUAAAACGUUUUAGUUAAUUUUAAGUUGUACAUUGAAAAUAUGUUAAAAACAUGUUCGUAGGGUUAAAAUAUGAUCAGAAAAUGGUUCAGAUAAUUGAAUUUAGCCAAGAUUACAGCAGCACUCAAAUGUGACAUUCAUAUAUUCAACUUAAUAGUGAGUCGAGUAUAGGGGUGUUACAAUUGGCCUCACAUGGUGAUCGCGUCCCAACGUGCAUGCGUCGGGUCUUAGAAAUAGGCAAUUACAUAUGAAAAUAUGUGUGGUGUCUACCAGUGUACAAAUAAAAUUUUAAUAUAGUUUUGUUUUUACAACAAAACGCUUUGAAAGUAUUCCUAGAACCAUACCCAAAGGAGGUUUGUUAAAACUAAAUUGACAGCAAGAAUAAACACACUAACUAGGUCUAAAUACUACUCACAUCUAGGUCAUAUUAUGAUAGAAUAAAAAGAAGAUGGUUUGCAGAAUAAAGUAACAACAAAAUACCAAAAUCUUAAUCAAUUUAUGCAGACACAAGGGUGGCUCACUUCGAUGUUCAUGGUUAACUUAGAUCUAGGGUUUUUCGCUAAUUAGCUAACAACUAACCUAAUUACAUUUCGGCCUAUAAGUAGAUUAAUUGAUUAACUUAAUUUACUUAUCUUUUGACCUAAUAAAUUAAACCGAGUUAAUAGACUAUCCUUUCGGCCUCAUCUACCUAAGUGACUUCCUAGAGUCGUCAAUUCUAGGGUUUUAUCCAGUUAACUUAAGCCAGCUAACUAGAUGUGAAACCCUUAACCCAAGCUAACCAAUCCCACUUCAAAUCGUCAACUUUCCCAGGGUUUAGUUCCGAGGCAUUCUAGAUGAAAACUCUCCUAUCAAUUUAUUAAACAUUUAAUUACACAUAAUAAUAAAAGAGAAAAGAGAAAGAAUGCUCAAAAUCUGAAGAUCGUUAAUUGCAGAUUGAAUCAUGAACCCUUAAUCGAUGUUGAUUAUUGAUAAUGAUGAAGAGAAAAUAACAAUGAAACUAAUAUUGAAAUCGAAGUAACUAUUUAAAAAUUGAAAAGAAAUUGAAAAUAAACUAAACCCUAACUAAGAAUAGAAAUCUAAAGUCUAAUUUCUGAACUGAACCCUCUAAUCAGGUUCUAAGAACUAAUAUUUAUAGUGUUUAUAUUACAUGACCAAAUUUGGUUAAUUACAAGCUGUGUAACAGGUUAAUUAUGAUUGUGUCGACAAAAAAUAACCCUGGCAGUUAAAUGGGCCUCGUCGAAUCGGUGUCGCGACUUUUAUGGCAGUCUACUCCCUCUCUAGACUCGAAGUUUGAUGUUGUGACUUUGGCUUGUGGAUGUCGUGACAUCGUCUCUCGUAACUUACCACUUGGAUUCAAAAUUCUACUAAGUGUAGAGGCUUGCUUCGUUGUUGCAAUAUUCCCUUUGAAUGUUGUGACCUCUAGGGCAAUCCACUGACUCAUCGGCCAAAAAAAUAUUGUCUUGCACACUUAAUCAACAUGUUAGUUCCUACUUAGGUCCGGAUUGGCCUAACAGGUCAUAAAACAACACUUAAGGCUCAUUUUAUUAAACUUAAAUUCAAAACUAACUAAUUUUAAAAAUAUACUAAAAAGAUAUAAAAUCACUUGAAUACAAGCUCAUUAAGUGUUAAAAAAAGCUUAAUUUACCACAACAAAUCACAUAGGUGAUGAUGUUGAGACCUAUGUGAAGACUUGUCUAGUGUGUCAACAAGACAAGGUACAAUUGAAAACGUCGACCACUUUUUUGUAGCCUUUACUCAUUCCAGAAUGUCCAUGGGAGAGUAUAUCUAUGGAUUUUAUUAUUAGUUUGCUUAAAUUUGACGGGUUUGCGAGUAUUAUUGUUGUGGUUGACAGAUUUUCCAAGUAUGGAGUGUUCAUUCCAACAACCAAUAAGUGCCCUACUAAUGAGGCAGCUCGUUUGUUCGUUGGACAUGUGGUAAAAUAUUAGGGAGUGCCACAGUCUAUAGUUAGUGAUUGAAAUGGACAAUUCAUGAGUCGAAUCUGGAAAAAGUUGUUCAAGUUGAAGGGAUCGGACUUGAACUUUUCCAUUAGCAUGCAUCCGCAAGCUGAUAGGUAAACUGUGAGAGUAAAUAUUUUAUUAGAGACUUAUUUUUGGCAUUAUGUGAGUGUCACACAGAGGGAUUGGCCAAAGUUGUUUGAUGUGACAUAAUUUUCUUAUAACUUGCAGCGGAGUUGGGCCACGAAUUAGAGUCUGUUUAAGAUAGUGACGGGGCAACAACUACUGAUACCUAACGUUGUUGCGACCCGUUAUGCAGGACCAAAUCAAACAACUUAUUGAUUUGCUAAAGAUUGGCAGUAGCGGAAUGACUUAGCCAGAGCUUACCUACAUAAGGUAAGUAAGCGCAACAAGAAGUGGGUUGAUCAAAAUCGCAAAUAUAUGUAAUUUCAAGUUGGUGACUUAGUCCUUGCUAAAUUACACUUGAUUUUGUGCCACAUUAGCUUACACAAAGGGAUCUUUUAGAGUUUUGAAGAGGAUAGGUAAGGUGGCCUACAAACUAAAGUUGCCAAUAAAAUUUAAGGUUUAUUUGUUGUUCUAUGUCAGUGUGCUUAAGUCUUUCAAUGAGGACCAGGAGAAUCCCAUUUGAGGUAAGUCCAAAUGAGAGCCAAUGGGUUAAAGGCCUCCUAUGAUCCUGAUGUUGAGUGUAUCAUGGCAGGCGAAGUGAUUCGACAGAAGUACUACAGACCAAUGCAUGAAAACCUUGUUUAAUGGAGGGGACUUCUCGAUACUGAGACUAAUUGAGAACUUGUUGAGGCUCUAUGAUAGUUCUAAGAGAAGAUAGACCAAUUUCAUUUCGAGGACACGACAAGGGUGUCGAGAGAAAAAGUUGAGUAGAAUGUCACGGCCAUGAAAAAGGAGCCCGUAACUGAUGCAUACAUUUCACACCCUGUAACAGCCCGAUUUUUAGUGAUGUCGGAAACAGUGGUUUGAGGCCACCAAAUCUGGCGAGUAAGCUCAUAAAUUUUAUUAUUUAAUAUUUAUGAGUCAAAUAUGGUUUAAAAAAUUUUUGAAUUAGUAAUUUAUGUCUUAUAAUGAAUUAUUAGAUUUAAGUGAUAAAACCUAGUUCAAGUGGUUUUAGAAAAUGAGGUAUUGAGACCUCGUUUCUAUAAACUAAGUUGUAAAUAUUUUUAUAAAUAUUUACGGAGUGUCAUUAAGGUAGUAUUAAAGUUUCAUUGAAAAAUUUUAACGUUUCGAUAGUUAAUUAAUUAAAAAGAACUAAACUGAAAAAGGUACAAAACUUGCUAAUUAUAAUAAUAAAGUGACUAAAUGGCUUGAUUAAUAAAUAAAUAAGGAUAAAUAGCAAUUAUGCCUCAAUGAAAAGAUGAGGCGGCAUAACAUGGAAAAGAAUAAUAAAAUAAAGCCAUGAAUGGCAAAAUUGUAAUUAAAUUGAAAUUAAAAUAAAAUAAAAGUGAAAUUAGAAAGUUUCUAGACAAUUCUUUAUUCUUCUCCCAAUUUUCGGUUCAAAAAUAGACAUGGGAGAGCUCCUUGAGCUGGUUCUUCAAUUCUUCUUCAUGUGAGUUCAAUUCUUACCCGUUUUUUGUAAUUUUUAUGUUUUUGAGAUUGUUGCAAUUAGGUCCAACUAAAUCUUACUCUAAUUUUUUAUUUUGUUAAAGAUUUUGAAUGUUGAAAUUGAUGAAUAUAUAUGAUUUUAGUUAUUAAAUGAUGAAUUUGAGAUGUUUGUUGAUAUUUAAAAAUAUUUUAUUAAGUAAUUUUGAUGAAUUUUUAUUAGGGACUAAUUUGUUGAAAUAGUAAAAAUACAAUGGUUUGUUAUGAAAUUAUUGCAAAAUUGGGCUGUAUUGAAUGCCAUUAAUAUUCAUCUAGCAUGAUUUUUCAUUAAAAAUGGUUAAUUUGCAUGAUUUGGGCUCAGGGACUAAAUUGAAUAAAAGUAAAAUUUUAGGGGUAAUUUUGUAAAAAUUUCAAAAAUGACCAAAUUCCAUGAAAUGAAUUUUUUAUUAUUUAAAUUAAUAAAUUGAAUGAAAUUAUUAAUUUAGAUCAAGACCGGGUGGAAAAUUGAGGGGAAUGGAAAAUUACUAAAAUGCCUCUGAAUCUUGGUAUUUUUGCAAUUUAGCCUGGUAAGUUCGUAUGAACUAUAUCCUGUAUAAUUUUGAUUAAAGUGAAUGUUAUUUGGUGAUGGAUAUUAUAUAUAUGUGUGUGUGUGUGUGUGCAUGUGUGUGUUCUAUUGUUGGAAUUAAAUUAUUAUUGGAAAUAUAUUAUCGAAAUUAAUACUCAGUUUAGAUUGAACGCAGGAUUUGAGUACAUUCAUAAAAUUGGUGUAUGGUGAUAUUGGAGGGAGAUAUCGAAAUAUUACCCAAGUAAACUGGGGUUCAGCAUCUGUUGCGAACUCUCGUGUUUUGCUUUCUAUUUGAAGUGAUUUGGGUGGAUCAACUCUCACGAGCUUCUGUUUAGCUCUUACGAGCUUAUGUUGGUGUGUUCUGGUGGACUAGCUCUAUGAGCUUCUGUUGAUGAUGUACUCUUAUCCGUAAGUCGUUCUUCGUAUGAAAAAUCUCGAUAAGAUAAAUUGUUAAAUGAAUUUGAAAGAUUUGUUAAUUAUUGAAUAUUGACCCAAACAUAAAUGAAAAUGAGAUAUGUUGUGACUAAACGAGAUACGUGAGUUAUGUACUCAUGAAUUGAGUAUUGAAUGGCUAAUGCCAAUGUAUAAACAAUUGUGGUUUGAUAUGUAAAUAGGUAUUUAUAUAGCAAUGAUGUGAAUUGGGACAUUGUUAAUCAAAUAAAAGAUGUUAGCAUGUGCAGUUUGAGUAUUUGACACUUUGUUAUUGAAUUGAAUUCAAGUCGAUUGAAUAGAUUGAAAUUGAUAUAUAUAUUGAAUGUAUUGAUUAUUUGAAUUGAAAUGAAUAUUGGUUGUAUUUGAAAAAUAAAUUGGAACCCUAUUAACUGUAUCAGGCUGAGUCGGAUAUAGAUGGCAUGCCAUAAGAUUGGAAGAAUUCAGGGAUUUCCUCGACUUUGAGUCGAUGAGAUACUGGGUGUCAAUUUAUUACUUCGGAUUUAUUCAAUGAGGCACUGGGUGGCAACUUACUUCGGUUUAACUGAUGAGACACUAGGUGUCAAUUUACUACUUCGAAUUAUUCGAUGAGGCACUGAGUGCCAAACUGGUGUGUUUGGUUGGGUCCGUGUAUCCGUCUAAGUCCGAGUUGUGUUAAUAGGGGUAAUUAAAUAAAACGGUACUAUGAUUGAUAUUGGAUGAUAUUGUAUGAGAAUUGAAAAUGGGAUAGUGAUUUGAAACAUGAAAAUGAGUUAUAUACAUAAAUGUACUAACCUGUGUAUUGAUGAUGGUGAUUAAGCUUAUGUCAAGCUUGAGAUUAUGAUUGAAGUAUAUACUUAUGUCUAGUAUUAUACAAAUGAAACAGUAAGUUCAUAAUUGAAAUGUGAUAUGAUGAUAAAGGGAUUGAUGAGUUGAUUAAUAUACUUAUAUAUAUAUAUGAGAAAUUGCGUAUGUUAUGGUUGAACUUACCUAUGUUAUGAAUAAAUAUAUUAAUUAGUUAAUUGAUGUUGUUAUUUAAGUUUAUGUUAAUUAAUAGAAUGGAAAAUAAGUAAAGGAAGUUAUUCGUAGUUUUAUGAAAAGGUUAAUCAUGGUGUAUAAUGUUUAUAAAAUCCUAUUAAAUUAGAAAUGAAUAUAUAUAUGAUGUUGAUAGACUUACUCAUUUAUGAACAGGUGGUUAUGUAGUUGAUAAAUCUCUAGGCAUUGGUAUAGCUUUAUAUUUAAUAUAUAAAAUUUAUUAUUGAAUUGGAAUAUUAUGUUUAAAGUCUGUACGAGCUUACUAAGCAUUCAUUGCUUACGUAGUUGUUUAUCCUUUAUUUCACAGAUUAUCAGAAGCUCGAUUGGGUUGGAAGCUUGUCAGAGUUAUAUCACACUAUCCAUCGGUUCUAUCGGUACUUUUGAAUGUUUUGAUUUUGGUUAUAAUGACAUGUAUAUGUUAUUUUGGUUAAAUGUUGGUCUAUAUGUGUUUUGUUGAGAUUAGUCAUAUAUUUGGUUUGUGUUUUGGUAUUUUAGUAUGUGCUUAAUUUGCCUUAUAAUGUUGAUGUGUGGAAUAAUGAAAGACAAAAUAGUAGUUGAAAAUGCAUAUGAGGAAUGUUUUAUAACUUGGUGUGAUUUGGUACUAUGUUAUAGUAAGUGUAUAUGUAUUUUAUGCUAUUGAAUAAGUGGUACAACUGGUACCAAAUGGUAAGUUUUAGUAAAUGUUUUACAUGUUGUGUAUUAAUGCGAUUAGACAUAAAAGUUAGUUGAUUACUUGGUUACAUGAUAUAUGUGGUUAAACAUAAUUGUAUUGGUCAUUUAAGAUGCCUAAGGACAUAUUGAUUUUAUGUGAAUAUACAUGUUUAGGGAUUGAUUUUAGAUGCUAUAAUAUGACUUGUUUAUAUACACAACAUUGAUUGUAGGUUGACACCAAAUUGGGUGAGAAAAAUGGCUUAUAAAAUAGCUUAUUUUCAUCCACACGUUCAGAGACACGGGCAUGUGUCUCCGUCGUGUGUGAUUCACGGUCAAGUGACACGGUCGUGUGUCCUCUGUGGCUUGUAAAGGUUUGCUAGUCAGUAUGUUCACACGGCCUAGCACACGGGUGUGUAGUUUGGCCAUGUGACCCCUGCAGCUUUGAAAAUUUUUAAUGUAUUCCGAAAAAUUUCCUGACUUUCUGAAUUAGUCCCGACUUAUUUAUAACGCGUAUUUUGGGCCUCGAGGGCUCGAAUAAGGGACAAUAUGUAUGAGUUUGAUUGGUUUCUGACAUGAAUAUUAUGUUAUAUGAAAUAAUCAAAUUUAUGUCUUUUUUAUCUAUAAACUCUGGUAAUGCUCCAUAACCCGGUUCCGGUAAGGGAUACAAGUUGGGGGUGUUACACACCCUUCAUGUUCCCUUGAGGUCAUUCGACUCAACAAGACUCACCUAUUGUUUGAAAGGGACUCAAGACUCAUUUAUUUAAAUUUUAGUUAAAAUUUAAACACUCCAAUAAAUUGCAUCUUUGCCUUUUUGAGUUGCUUUCGCUUUAUCUCGAUGCUUUAACAAUUUUUCAAGAAAAUUCUCAUCUUUCGAAAGUAAAGCUAAAUUAGAUAAACUCGAAGUAAAAAAACCAGCUAAAACUGCCUGAUUUGCCAAAAUUUGCUACUAUGUUGCCAUCCCAUUAGACAUGCAUAUAUUUAAUUUCCCAAUUCCUCCUAUAACACUUGUAAUAUUGCGUCCCAACGAUCAAGUCUUACCUUCACCUUUCAAUUGAAAGAAUACUCAAUUCAUACGUAGUUGGGAUAGUUGAAGAUUUCAUCCGAAGACAGGCGAAGGAAAAUGAAUUGAUUCCAGUACCAACUCACUACCCAUUUCAUCACUAUAUCUACUACACCAAAACAGGCUUUUAGCGGAAUUUUUAGUGGCGUUUGGCCAAAAAAGCGCCGCUAAAAAUCGAGCAUUAGCGGCGCUUUACAUAAAAAGCCGCUAAAAAUGAGCAUUAGCGGCGUUUUUCCAAAAAACGCUGCAAAAAACCUAAGCCGAAAGACAUCGUUUUCUGACCUUUUGGGGCUUUAGCGGCGUUUUUCAAGAAGCGCCGCUAAUGCUCGGGGCUUUAGCGGCGUUUUUGAAAAAGUGCCGCAAAAACAUUUUAUUUGUCUAUUUACUAUUUAAUUUGUUUAUUUAUAUUAAUUAAAAUUCAAUUUAUUUUUAAUUGAAUAUUUGUUAAAAUGGAUAAAUUUGAAAUAAUGACACGUAGAAAUAAUUUGAAAUAAAAAACAUAGAAAAAUAUUUGUUAAAAAUAUAAAAAUUAAAAUACUAUUAUUUAAAAUAAUUUUAAAAUUUUUUGGGUACAUGACUGAUUGAUUUUUAAUUUAUAUAUUAAAUAAUUUCAUAUAUAAUUGUAAAAGAUACGAUAGUAUUAAUUUUAAAAUAUUUAAUUUAUUAUAGUUUAGGGUUUAAUAUAUAUGGUUUAUGGUAUAUGGUUAAUUUAGGAUUUAAGGCCAGUUUAGGAGUUACAAUUUUAAGGUUUAUAGAUUAUGGAAUUAGGGAUUAUGGAUUAGGGGUUCUAGUUUAAGGGUUGUGAUUUAGGGAUUAGAGAUUAAGAGUUAGGGAUUUAAGGUUUUUGGAUUCAGUGUCAGGUUUGGGUUUAGGGUUUAGAUUAAUUAGUAUAUUUUAAUUUAUAUUAAAUAUGGUUUAGGGGUUAGGGGUUGGGGUUUAUGGGUUAGGGGUUUAGGAUUUAUGUUUUAUGGUUUAAUGUUUAGGAGAUAGGGGUUAGAGAUUUAAGGUUUAAUCGAUUUUAACUAUUUUAUGAUUAUUAAAUAUUUAGGGAUUUUUUUGGAUGGUAUUUUAAGGAUUAGGGGGUAUGGAUUUAGGGGUUGGGAUUUAAGGUUUGAGGGUUAAAGGUUAAGGAUUAAGAGUUAAAGAUUUAGGGUUUAUGAAUUCUGGGGUCAGAUCAAGGUUUUGGGUUUAGAUUAAUUAGUUUUUUAAAAAUAUAUUUAAAAAAUUUAAUCUAAACCAUUUGAUAUAUUUAAAUAUUAGUUUAAAUAGAAUUAAUAAAUAAGUUUAAAAAGUAUUGAUAUAUAUAUGGAUGGAUAUAUAUUUAGGUACGUAUAAUUAAUUAUUUUGGAUAUAUAGGACCAAAUUAUAAGAAAUGAAAUAAAAAUACAAACAAAAAAGACAAAAAACCUAAAAUUUAUAAUUUUAUAUAAUUCUUAUAAAUAUUACUUAAAAAGUUUAGAAUUAUUUAUUUAAAACGUCACCGUUUGGCUUAAGUAAACUAAUUUUUAGUGGCGUUUUUUACAAAAAAACGCCACAACUAUGCAUUAAAGCUUAAUAAAACGGCGCCGUUUUUGUUUAGAACUUUAAUUUUUAGUGGUGUUUUUAUAAAAAACGCCGCAAAAGAUAAGCAAUAGCGGCGUUUUUAUAAAAAACCGCCACAAAAAAUCAUUUUUAUUUACAAAAAAAUCGCGCCUUCUUAUCCCAAUUUUCCCCCGCUGAAACCCCUAAUUUUUUCCCCUCUUCUUCGCGGUCUAUGAGCAUUUUGCUUCUUCACCCUUUUCAAACUCAUUUCUUUCUCCUCUUCUUUCUUUUUUUCGGAUCUUCUUUCUCCCUCUCUCCAAAGUUCUUCAAUUCUUUCCGUCUCCUUUUCGCUCGCUCUCUGGUAAUUUCAUCUUUUAGAACAGGGCCGGUCUAGCCAAUCUCUACCAGGACGGUUUAAUGUUGACCUUCGAGGGUCAAAAGAUCCAAGGCUCUCAGAGCAUCGUCGCUAAACUCAUCAGCCUUCCUUUCCAGCGGUGUUAGCACAGCAUCACCACUGUCGAUUGUCAGCCUCCAGCGUUGGCGGCAUGCUGGUUUUCGUCAGUGGUACCCUCCAACUCGUCAGUGGUUUCAAUUCGUAGGUAAGCUCUCUUUAACCAUGGCUUAAUUAAUCAUGCGAAGACCUUGAAACUUCGAGAUUACUCUCUCACAAUCUAAGUUAGCUGCAUACGAUUAGCAACUUUGUGGAGAGGAGGAUUUUGUUUUUGUUUUUCUUCCUUUAAUUGCUGAUUUUUUCUGGGUUUCCAGAAUAGAUUUAAAAUUAUGUCAAGUUGGAUAUUGCAAGCUUCAGUCGAAUUUUAGUGUUGGAAACUGCAAUUAUUGACUUAAUUUGCUGAUUCGAUUAGAAAAAGCAAUUUAAGUAUUUGAAUUUUACUUCUCAAAAGAAAAAAAAAAUAGUGAUUUUAAUGUUAAUGGAGUGUUUUACAUGGUAAAUAGUUAAUAAAAAUAAGCAUUAUUGUAUGUGAUUUUAUCAUGAGGAUAAAUGUUUCCUGUAGCAUUAAGUUUUCAAAAGAAUUUUUAUUUUGAGAUCCUUACUUUGCUUUUUAAUCAAUGAUGCUUUUUAACAGUGUUCUUAGGUGUGUGCCUAGGUGCAUUAGACCAAGAUAGUUGGUAUUAUAUUGGUGGGCGUACCAAGGUCGGUGCAUUAGACCAAGGUGUAAAUGAAUAUGAUCAAGUGCAUGUGUAUUGGCCAAUGAAAGAUUAAAAAUUUUUUGCAUGAUUUUUAGAUAAAAGGGACCAGUUGUUAGUGUUUGCUAUCAUAUCUUAAGCUAAUUUAUAUGUACACGGUCACACAUAAAAACACAAAUUUGUAUAUAUUGCCUCGUCUGCGGCAAGUGCUUUUUCCACACCUUGCCUUUUGAGUAAUAUAAAGGGUUCUAAUGCCUAGAAUACCUUGUGCUCUUGGCAACAUUUGGUUGGCCCUACAUUUCUUAAAAUUUUUUCUAAUUCAAAUUCAUAUUUACUGUUUUUUGAAGAAAAAUUAAUAAUAAUUUUGUUUUGUCGUUUCUUCUAAUAUUAAUAACUAGCUACUUAUACUAUAUUAGAGAAUCAAAUAUUCACCGAGUCAAUGGAGUAUAUAAUUUAAAUAAAUUAUCCUUGAGAUAGUGCCAGACCAGUUUUCCUCUUUGAAAUUGCUUUAACCAGUGAAAUGCUUCGAUGGUUUGUUAUCUUUGUGGUGGAAAUUAUUGAUGUCUAUUUUGGACUUUGGAGCUAUAAUUUCAUUUUUCUUAUAUGCAAUUUUAUUUUUAUUAUUUUUCUUUUAUACAGGAUGAGAACCGGUAUAGUGCAGGAAGAGGAGUGCACAAAAAUCUGAAACGUGCAGAGAAAGCUCGCAUUCUAGUUAGCAAAUUACCAUGUAAGCUUCUAGUAGUAAUCUUACAUCUUGAAGUAGGUUUCUGUGACAUAUUAACUUAAUCUCCUUUGUUAAAUAGAAAACAUGAUUUAUUGCAAUGCAAGAUUUAGUUGAUUUGCUUAUAUGCUGGUUGUUUCUGAACUUGGUUUGGUUUUGUGUAACCGUGGUUUUUGAACUUGCAUUCUAUACUGUCCAAAUAUCUCGGUUCAGGUCAAUUUUCGAUUUUAUUAUUUAUUCCUGAGCUUAAGCUCCAGUUUGAAAUGAGAUUUUUCAAUAUAGUUAAAAGGUAAAAAGACCUCAAUCAAACUCGUGUGAUACUAUAAUCAAGCAUUAAGGUACUCGAAUUUGAUCUGCUCAAUAGCUCAAACUCGACUCAACACCACACAAGUCUAAUUUGAGAAUUUCUGAGAAGGAUCCACAAAUAAUAACUGAAUUAUUGCCAAGUAUGAAAUAAUUGUGAUACUUAUCAACUCUAGUGAUUGCAUAUCUGGAUAAGAAACUGGAGGCUUAGGGGCAUAUGAUGCAGACAUUUAUUGACUGCGCUGUGCAUUUUGGCUUUUACUGCCUACAUAUAUUUGGUUUUAGUAUUCCUGUCUGCAUGUAUUUGCUUGCGGAAUUUAUGUUGUUGUUAAUGGUUUUUAUUUUAAACUUAAGUUGUGCCUGCCAAUAUACUCUUAAAUCAUGAUCCUUCUAUUAUUUUAGGUUGCUGAGAAGACUGCUCUUCUAUGACUUUUAGCGACGCUUCUACAACAAAUAAAUAUUAUUUAAUUAAAUUUUUUUAAAAGCCAUGUUUUUAGCGGCGUUUGUUAAAAAGCGCCGCUAAAAGUCAUAUUCUUUAGCAACAUUUUUUAGAAAAGCGCCGCUAAAGAUCAUGGUCUAUAACGGCAUUUUUAGUAGAAGCAUCGCUAAAGGUCAUGGUCUAUAGCGGCAUUUGUGAAAAAAACGCCAUUACAAGUCAUGGUCUAUAGCGACGUUUUUUUAAAAGCGCCGCUGAAGGCCUAAAAAGAUGCCGCUAAAAACCUAUUUUGGUGUAGUGCAUUGUGCAGCAUAGAAAAGACUCAAAUUAUGCUUAAAAAAAAAAAACCAUCCUCUGCUCCUAUAGGAAUAAUGUGCUAAACAAACCUCUCCAAAGUGCUGGAUACAUUAACGCACUAGAGACCAAAUACAUUUCUUUCCAGCAUUUUUCAGACACCGCAAAGGUAAUUUGUUAAUGAGGAAGGGAAUUGGUAAGAAAAUUUUCAAACACCAGAUUUCCUAUUUUCUAUGUAUUCUCAUCAAAUGUUACAAUGGGAAUCUAGCUUAUAACCCAAGCAGCCAAAAAAAAAAAAAAUGGGAUGUUCUAAUCCUAGCCAAGAAUUGACUUGAUUUUCGCCUUCUGAUCCUCCGCAAGUGAUGUGGGGAACAGAACCUCAUAGGUGACAAAGAGGUCUCCUUUCUUGUUGCUAAAAUGCAAUGGCAUUCCUUCUCCUUUGAACUUUCUCACCUCCUUCGGCUUGGUAAUACCCUAAGUAUGCAAUACACAAUUAUUUCUUAUUUUGGGUCAUUUUGUUGAUCGCGGACAACAUGAAAUCAAAUCUCC